GAUGAACGCUGGCGGCGUGCCUAAUACAUGCAAGUCGAGCGAACGGACGAGAAGCUUGCUUCUCUGAUGUUAGCGGCGGACGGGUGAGUAACACGUGGAUAACCUACCUAUAAGGCUGGGAUAACUUCGGGAAACCGGAGCUAAUACCGGAUGAUAUUUUGAACCGCAUGGUUCAAAAGUGAAAGACGGUCUUGCUGUCACUUAUAGAUGGAUCCGCGCUGCAUUAGCUAGUUGGUAAGGUAACGGCUUACCAAGGCAACGAUGCAUAGCCGACCUGAGAGGGUGAUCGGCCACACUGGAACUGAGACCCGGUCCAGACUCCUACGGGAGGCAGCAGUAGGGAAUCUUCCGCAAUGGUCGAAAGCCUGACGGAGCAACGCCGCGUGAGUGAUGAAGGUCUUCGGAUCGUAAAACUCUGUUAUUAGGGAAGAACAUAUGUGUAAGUAACUGUGCACAUCUUGACGGUACCUAAUCAGAAAGCCACGGCUAACUACGUG
RNAcentral lists this ribosomal RNA (497 nucleotides) under uncultured bacterium. RNAcentral describes it as "partial 16S ribosomal RNA". It matches the Rfam family "Bacterial small subunit ribosomal RNA", at positions 28 to 507 of the family's 1533-position model. The record is from RNAcentral.